This 1470-nucleotide ribosomal RNA is filed under the name metagenome. RNAcentral's name for it is "bacterial SSU rRNA". It matches the Rfam family "Bacterial small subunit ribosomal RNA". The record is from RNAcentral.
AGAGUUUGAUCCUGGCUCAGGACGAACGCUGGCGGCACGCUUAACACAUGCAAGUCGAACGAGAGAAGAGGAGCUUGCUUUUCUGAUCUAGUGGCGGACGGGUGAGUAACACGUGAGCAAUCUGCCUUUCAGAGGGGGAUACCGAUUGGAAACGAUCGUUAAUACCGCAUAACAUAAUUGAACCGCAUGAUUUGAUUAUCAAAGAUUUAUCGCUGAAAGAUGAGCUCGCGUCUGAUUAGCUAGUUGGUAAGGUAACGGCUUACCGAGGCGACGAUCAGUAGCCGGACUGAGAGGUUGAUCGGCCACAUUGGGACUGAGACACGGCCCAGACUCCUACGGGAGGCAACAGUGGGGAAUAUUGCACAAUGGAGGAAACUCUGAUGCAGCGAUGCCGCGUGAGGGAAGAAGGUUUUAGGAUUGUAAACCUCUGUCUUCAGGGACGAAAAAAGACGGUACCUGAGGAGGAAGCUCCGGCUAACUACGUGCCAGCAGCCGCGGUAAUACGUAGGGAGCGAGCGUUGUCCGGAAUUACCGGGUGUAAAGGGAGCGUAGGCGGGAUCGCAAGUCAGAUGUGAAAACUAUGGGCUUAACCCAUAAACUGCAUUUGAAACUGUGGUUCUUGAGUGAAGUAGAGGUAAGCGGAAUUCCUAGUGUAGCGGUGAAAUGCGUAGAUAUUAGGAGGAACAUCAGUGGCGAAGGCGGCUUACUGGGCUUUAACUGACGCUGAGGCUCGAAAGCGUGGGGAGCAAACAGGAUUAGAUACCCUGGUAGUCCACGCCGUAAACGAUGAUUACUAGGUGUGGGGGGACUGACCCCUUCCGUGCCGCAGCAAACGCAAUAAGUAAUCCACCUGGGGAGUACGACCGCAAGGUUGAAACUCAAAGGAAUUGACGGGGGCCCGCACAAGCAGUGGAGUAUGUGGAUUAAUUCGAAGCAACGCGAAGAACCUUACCAGGUCUUGACAUCGUAUGCAUAGCUCAGAGAUGAGUGAAAUCUCUUCGGAGACAUAUAGACAGGUGGUGCAUGGUUGUCGUCAGCUCGUGUCGUGAGAUGUUGGGUUAAGUCCCGCAACGAGCGCAACCCUUACUGUUAGUUGCUACGCAAGAGCACUCUAGCAGGACUGCCGUUGACAAAACGGAGGAAGGUGGGGAUGACGUCAAAUCAUCAUGCCCCUUAUGACCUGGGCCUCACACGUACUACAAUGGCUGUCAACAGAGGGAAGCAAAGCCGCGAGGUGGAGCGAACCCCUAAAAGCAGUCUUAGUUCGGAUUGUAGGCUGCAACCCGCCUACAUGAAGUCGGAAUUGCUAGUAAUCGCAGAUCAGCAUGCUGCGGUGAAUACGUUCCCGGGCCUUGUACACACCGCCCGUCACGCCAUGGGAGUCGGUAACACCCGAAGCCUGUAGUCUAACCGCAAGGAGGACGCAGUCGAAGGUGGGAUUGAUGACUGGGGUGAAGUCGUAACAAGGUA